CAAGGAAUAGUUUAAAUAGAAUGUCAGCUUUGGGUGUUGAUGGUGGGGGUUGUCUCCUUCCUUGA
RNAcentral lists this transfer RNA (65 nucleotides) under Scotonycteris zenkeri (Zenker's fruit bat). RNAcentral's name for it is "tRNA-Pro". It matches the Rfam family "tRNA". From Rfam's summary of the family: Transfer RNA (tRNA) molecules are approximately 80 nucleotides in length. Their secondary structure includes four short double-helical elements and three loops (D, anti-codon, and T loops). The record is from RNAcentral. Lineage: Eukaryota; Metazoa; Chordata; Mammalia; Chiroptera; Pteropodidae.